This 422-nucleotide ribosomal RNA is filed under the name uncultured bacterium. RNAcentral's name for it is "bacterial SSU rRNA". It matches the Rfam family "Bacterial small subunit ribosomal RNA", at positions 355 to 774 of the family's 1533-position model. The record is from RNAcentral.
UGAGGAAUAUUGGUCAAUGGGGGCAACCCUGAACCAGCCAAGUCGCGUGAAGGAUGAAGGUCUUAUGGAUUGUAAACUUCUUUUACACGGGAAUAAAGGGGGGGACGUGUCCCCCUUUGCAUGUACCGUGUGAAUAAGGAUCGGCUAACUCCGUGCCAGCAGCCGCGGUAAUACGGAGGAUCCGAGCGUUAUCCGGAUUUAUUGGGUUUAAAGGGUGCGCAGGCGGGAUGUUAAGUCGGCGGUGAAAUUUUGCAGCUCAACUGUAAAAGUGCCUUCGAUACUGGCUUCCUUGAGUGUAGAUGAANUAGGCGGAAUUUGUGGUGUAGCGGUGAAAUGCUUAGAUAUCACGAGGAACUCCGAUUGCGCAGGCAGCUUACUAAACUACAACUGACGCUCAUGCACGAAGGCGUGGGGAUCAAACA